CGCUGAAAGCAUCUAAGCGCGAAGCAGGCCUCGAGAUGAGUUCUCACUAGAGCUAUAAGCUCUCUGAAGGGCCGUUGGAGACUACAACGUUGAUAGGCAAGGUGUGGAAGCAUAGUGAUAUGUUAAGCUAACUUGUACUAAUUACCCGUGAGGCUUAACCAU
Pseudoalteromonas porphyrae is the source of this 162-nucleotide non-coding RNA. NCBI's taxonomy places the organism in Bacteria, Pseudomonadati, Pseudomonadota, Gammaproteobacteria, Alteromonadales, Pseudoalteromonadaceae. The record is from Rfam.